RNAcentral lists this transfer RNA (69 nucleotides) under Lophotus capellei (unicornfish). Its description in RNAcentral is "tRNA-Glu". It matches the Rfam family "tRNA". Rfam says of the family: Transfer RNA (tRNA) molecules are approximately 80 nucleotides in length. Their secondary structure includes four short double-helical elements and three loops (D, anti-codon, and T loops). Further hydrogen bonds mediate the characteristic L-shaped molecular structure. tRNAs have two regions of fundamental functional importance: the anti-codon, which is responsible for specific mRNA codon recognition, and the 3' end, to which the tRNAs corresponding amino acid is attached (by aminoacyl-tRNA synthetases). tRNAs cope with the degeneracy of the genetic code in two manners: having more than one tRNA (with a specific anti-codon) for a particular amino acid; and 'wobble' base-pairing, i.e. permitting non-standard base-pairing at the 3rd anti-codon position. The record is from RNAcentral. Lineage: Eukaryota; Metazoa; Chordata; Actinopteri; Lampriformes; Lophotidae.
GUUUUUGUAGUUGAAUAACAACAGUGGUUUUUCGAGUCACAGGUCUUGGUUAGAGUCCGGGCGAAAAUU